Long non-coding RNA from Brienomyrus brachyistius, 528 nucleotides. RefSeq lists it as uncharacterized. The record is from RefSeq and is a predicted model, not a curated record. Lineage: Eukaryota; Metazoa; Chordata; Actinopteri; Osteoglossiformes; Mormyridae. The transcript has 5 exons.
CUUACUGAGGCCUCUCGCUGUAAAGAGAAGCACCAGGAGCAGAACCUUUGGCGUCAAGCGCAGUGGCUGGUAGCAGAUGACAGCCUGGGGAAGACGGCAGACGUUCCCCUGAAAGAGCCAGCUGUUCAAGGGUCAAGGUCGUUUUUACCUGAUUGGCUGGCGAUGUACAGCAGUAUAAUCAGGUUUUUAUGAAACUGAGGUUAUCCAGAUGCUGAACUGAAAAAUGUCCCCAAAAACCUUUAGAUGACACGUGCAGUGGCUCCCCAUCAGACGUUAUCCUGGACUCUGGAGGAGGAGACCUGUCAGAGGCAACUUCUGAAAGGCUUCAAGAGCAGCUGCCCUGAAAUGUCAUGUUGAUUUUCCUGAUCCAUGCAGGAAGGGAGAGAAAAAUGAAAAUAUUGAGGGGACAGUCCAAGGUGCAGGCCGUCCUCUGCUAGACGAUCCCUAGGAGGCCCCCACUGGGGAAGGUCAGGGAAUUGCACGGGAACGUCGAGUGCUAACAGGCAAGCUAUCUGCACCCCGUCAAUU